This 478-nucleotide ribosomal RNA is filed under the name uncultured bacterium. Its description in RNAcentral is "partial 16S ribosomal RNA". It matches the Rfam family "Bacterial small subunit ribosomal RNA", at positions 28 to 507 of the family's 1533-position model. The record is from RNAcentral.
GAUGAACGCUGGCGGCGUGCUUAACACAUGCAAGUCGAACGGGAAACCUUUUAAUGAAGCUUCGGCAGAUUUAGCUGGUUUCUAGUGGCGGACGGGUGAGUAACGCGUGGGUAACCUGCCUUAUACAGGGGGAUAACAGUCAGAAAUGACUGCUAAUACCGCAUAAGCGCACAGGACCGCAUGGUCCGGUGUGAAAAACUCCGGUGGUAUAAGAUGGACCCGCGUUGGAUUAGCUUGUUGGUGGGGUAACGGCUCACCAAGGCGACGAUACAUAGCCGGCCUGAGAGGGUGAACCGCCACAUUGGGACUGAGACACGGCCCAGACUCCUACGGGAGGCAGCAGUGGGGAAUAUUGCACAAUGGGGGAAACCCUGAUGCAGCGACGCCGCGUGAAGGAAGAAGUAUCUCGGUAUGUAAACUUCUAUCAGCAGGGAAGAUAGUGACGGUACCUGACUAAGAAGCCCCGGCUAACUACGUG